AAUACAAUGCGUGAAAAUGGUGCUGAUGCUUAAUAGGGAAUCUAGUGGAAAACUAGAACUGUCCUCGCAACUGUAAAUGAUGUACGAAAUAAGUGGAUCCACUGUAUGUAACCAUAUGGGAAGGGCUUAGAGUAGGUUGAUAUCAUAAGUCAGUAGACCUGCCGUUUUCUGAUGUUUCAA
Molecule: non-coding RNA, 180 nt
Filed under: Virgibacillus necropolis
Lineage: Bacteria; Bacillati; Bacillota; Bacilli; Caryophanales; Bacillaceae
Source: RNAcentral